RNAcentral lists this non-coding RNA (88 nucleotides) under Pseudomonas putida KT2440. Lineage: Bacteria; Pseudomonadati; Pseudomonadota; Gammaproteobacteria; Pseudomonadales; Pseudomonadaceae. The record is from RNAcentral.
UAUGGCAGCUGUGCGUGGGUUACCUUCGUGUGUGCAGGGAUUCUCAGUGCCCCCGGUCUGUCAACCCACAAACAGCUGCACUGAGAGG